Molecule: long non-coding RNA, 99 nt
Organism: Nanorana parkeri
Lineage: Eukaryota; Metazoa; Chordata; Amphibia; Anura; Dicroglossidae
Exons: 3
Source: RefSeq, a predicted model, not a curated record
CCAAUUUUGAGGGUUAUCAGGGGAAAGGCAGGUUUCGCUGCCGGAUUUACGGAGCGGGUUAAACACAUGGAGCAUCUUGCUGGGAGAGUGUCACUCCUG